Molecule: ribosomal RNA, 253 nt
Filed under: uncultured bacterium
Lineage: Bacteria
Description: partial 16S ribosomal RNA
Rfam family: Bacterial small subunit ribosomal RNA
Source: RNAcentral
GACAGAGGGUGCAAACGUUGUUCGGAAUUACUGGGCGUAAAGCGUGUGUAGGCGGCUUUGCAAGUCGGGUGUGAAAGCCCCAGGCUCAACCUGGGAAGUGCACUCGAUACUGCUAAGCUAGAGUGUCGGAGAGGUUGGUGGAAUUCUCGGUGUAGAGGUGAAAUUCGUAGAUAUCGAGAGGAACACCGGUGGCGAAGGCGGCCAACUGGACGAACACUGACGCUGAGACACGAAAGCGUGGGGAGCAAACAGG